UGUACUGAUAUAUAAAAUUGG
Molecule: non-coding RNA, 21 nt
Filed under: Caenorhabditis elegans
Lineage: Eukaryota; Metazoa; Nematoda; Chromadorea; Rhabditida; Rhabditidae
Source: RNAcentral